CCUCAAGCUGCCCCCAGGGAGGGUCAGACAGGACAUUAGGAAAAACUUUUUCACUGAAAGGGUCAUCAGGCACUGGCAGAGGCUGCCCAGGGAGGGGGUGGAGCCACCAUCUCUGAAGAUAUUUAAAAGACAGGUAGAUGAGGUGCUUAAGGACAUGGUUUAGUGGCCAACAGGUAUGGUUGGACUUGAUCUCUGAAGUCUUUUCCAACCUGGUGAUUCUAUGAUUCUAUAAUGCUGACUACAGCAGGCUUUUCUUAAACUUCAGGGUUUUGGUUUACUUUCCUUCCCUUUCCCCAGGUCUUCAGAGAGUUUUACUCCCAAAUAAUUUGGUUUUCCAGCUGCUACCCAGAACUCAACCUCAGCCCAUUGGAGAGUAUGUGAAACAGCAGCUGGUGUCCAUUUCCCAGCUGAAAACAAUGAGGAUGUGUAAGGCUUGCUCAGCUGUGAAAAAGCCAGAGCAGGGAAAAAACCUCACGCAGAGAUAGUCUCAGAAAUUUGAGACUAAGUGGACAGCCAUAUCAGCCUAGAGCAGAGGUCCAGCUCAUGUUUUGUGCGGGAGUGCACGCUGGAUGCUUGGGGAGAAUCCAACUUCACUUUUUUCCAUGCUAUUUCGAUUAUGUAAGCAUAUCAUAUUCCCACCUGGUUAUUCCAUUCCCAACUUGAAACAUCAUAAUCAGGACAGCUCGUCUCUUCAGUGCUCCCAUCGAUUUUGUCAUCUUUCUCGGUGCCCUUCGUAAUUGCCAAAGCUGCAGAUAGCAGGAGGUUUGUGGGCCUGCUACGUGAUUUCUGGUUUGUUCUCAGGUGAUCCUGAGAAUUCCUGAUACUCUGUUUACCUUUUGUGGCCACCUGUGAGCACUGACUUGAUAUCUGGAGGCAACCAUUCACUAUCCUGGUAGCUUUCCUAUCUUCUAAUCCUGGUCCUCCUUUCAGAGACUGAAUUUCUACAGGCUUUGGUCCACGCGUGGCUUAGAGUAUGGACAGAGAAGUUGAUGUUCUGCUUUAUCUGCAUAAAGGGUUAUUUUAGCCCAGAAAACAGAGCAGUGCAGAGACAGAUAAAGCCACAACCCUUUAAUUUUUGGGGACUGAGCAGCUCAUCGCUAUCAGAGUUGUGCCGUUACUCAGACUCCUUGUGUUCCCAGCAAACACCAUCGGAAGAGCUGGCCGAGGAGGUGACAUUCAGGAUGCCCUUUCUAUCACCCACUAAAGCAGCUGAGAGGCUCCUGUUACAGAGCAGGAGAGCGGGGUGGGCAGGCUAAGACGCCUUCAUAUAAGACAAAGAAGAAAGAGAGCAAGUGGCAAAAGGGGGAGGGAAGGGGAGGGAAAGAAAAUCAGGAUUAGGUGCAUAAUAUUAGCACCAGCAACAACUGCAUCCUAAAAAAGAAAGCAAUGAGGUGAUAUUUUCCUAGGCUGACACUCAUUUGUGACAGAUGCACAAAUGCCACUUCUGGGCAGAUUUCAGUGCUGCAAAUGGAAAUAUAUCAGUAUGGAAUUUGUAUAAACCUGUCUGCUUUAAGCAGAAGACUUUUCAAGUUUAAGGCAGCCCGCGGGAUUACCAUGGGAUUUGCUCAGUGCCAGCGUCACUGCAGCGACGUUACCAACAGGGUACAUCGCAGCACAAUUUUCUAGUGACGUUUCUGAACUAACAUUUUGUGUUGCAAAAACAUUCUUGCAGCUUCAGGAAAUUUAUCAACUGCCUCAUUAUUUCUGCAGAGGCAGCGCUUGCUCCAAGCUUGCUCCAGAACCAGCAGCGCUGCAGAAAGCCAUGGUCCCCUCUGUCAGCCACGUGAAGCGAGAGCAGCCCAUGAUCGCAUUCAGACCGAACGCAGAGCUGCGGGGCCUCAGUGCGUUCAGCGUGAUCUGAGCAGCUGAACUUGCCUUCAGCACUCCUGCCUUCACGCCGUGCUGUGGGGAGCUGCCUGCCCUGCGGAGAAGAAAGGAACCCCAGGCAGCACUUCCCAAACCCAGGAGCAAAGCUGGAUUGGGAGGAGGCAGUGAAAAAACAUGCCUUCCUGGAGGGUUGAAGACUUCGGAGACUACUCGCAGUCCCCAGCUGGAGUCUGAAGCCCCCAGUCCUGGCCAGAGCUCAGGUGCCCCAGCCAGCUCCCCAGGGAAGGAAGCCUGGCUUGGGGUCCACCAGCCCAGGGAGCUGCUGCUCUCUCUGCCAGGAGUAAGUGGGUGGGGAAGGUGCAGAGUGGCCCUGGUUUUGAGUUGCUGCCGUGGCCCACAGGGACCUAACUCCUCGCUCCGUGCGAGCCCAGCCUCUGGCAACCACCCACGCCUAUGGUUUGUGAAGGAUCUUCCAAGAAAAUAAACAACCAACUCAGAAGUGGAGGAGGAGACAGGAGCAGAAGGGCUCCACAUUCAGCUGGACUGAUGCACAGCAGCAGCGUUAGCCGGCAAGAACACGUGCUCAGAGGGAUUGAACGUGCAUUAGAGAGCUUCUAAAGUGCUGCCACUAAAUGCAGUCCCGCAGCCUUAGGGGAUGGAUUUGAUGGAUCUUGGAAGGAGGCCCCUUGGCACAGCCCCAGCCUCCUGAGCUGUUCCCAGGCAUGUCCAGCACGCCUGCAGAUGAAAACUCAGUUCAGCUGUCAGACCAGAGGCACAACUAUUCAUUCAGAGGCAAGUUAUUUUUCCAGCAGACUAAUAAGUUAAACUGACUGGUCCUAGAAGCUUCCGCAGGCUUUGCCGGGCACCUCCGUGCUAGCUGGGCACCCCCUGUGUCGAGCACAAGACAGUACAACGGGGUGCAGGUGAUGUGAACAGCCCCUCCGUGGCUGCUCACCUAAAGACCAGGCUGGCAAUGAAGAGAAAGGCUUUAUACCUCCCUCUGGCUGCCAUGUGAUAAAGCUCAGGCUCCUACAGAGCAGCUUUGCCAGGUGGAGACUCAACCAG
Cuculus canorus (common cuckoo) is the source of this 2892-nucleotide long non-coding RNA. RefSeq lists it as uncharacterized. The transcript is spliced from 3 exons. The record is from RefSeq and is a predicted model, not a curated record. Lineage: Eukaryota; Metazoa; Chordata; Aves; Cuculiformes; Cuculidae.